UACGUAGGGUGCGAGCGUUAAUCGGAAUUACUGGGCGUAAAGCGUGCGCAGGCGGUUUUGCAAGCCGGAUGUGAAAUCCCCGGGCUCAACCUGGGAAUGGCAUUCGGGACUGCAAGGCUGGAGUGCGGCAGAGGAGACUGGAAUUCCUGGUGUAGCAGUGAAAUGCGUAGAUAUCAGGAGGAACACCUGUGGCGAAAGCGGCGCACUGGACCACAACUGACGCUGAGGCGCGAAAGCGUGGGGAGCAAACAGG
This 253-nucleotide ribosomal RNA is filed under the name uncultured bacterium. RNAcentral's name for it is "partial 16S ribosomal RNA". It matches the Rfam family "Bacterial small subunit ribosomal RNA", at positions 524 to 776 of the family's 1533-position model. The record is from RNAcentral.